GAGCAGGAGAGGGCGGUGGAACUCCAUGUGUAGCGGUAAAAUGCGUAGAUAUAUGGAAGAACACCAGUGGCGAAGGCGGCCGCCUGGCCUGUUGCUGACGCUGAGGCACGAAAGCGUGGGGAGCAAAUAGGAUUAGAUACCCUAGUAGUCCACGCCGUAAACGAUGAGGACCAAGUGUUGGGGGUGAAACCUCAGUGCUGAAGUUAACGCAGUGAGUCCUCCGCCUGGGGAGUAUGCACGCAAGUGUGAAACUCAAAGGAAUUGACGGGGGCCCGCACAAGCGGUGGAGUAUGUGGUUUAAUUCGAAGCAACGCGAAGAACCUUACCAGGCCUUGACAUGGGAUGCGAAGACGCAGAGAUGCGUUGGAGGUCAACAUCCACACAGGUGGUGCAUGGUUGUCGUCAGCUCGUGUCGUGAGAUGUUGGGUCAAGUCCCGCAACGAGCGCAACCCUUGUGGCAUGUUGCUAACAGGAAAGCUGAGGACUCAUGCCAGACUGCCGGUGACAAACCGGAGGAAGGCGGGGAUGACGUCAAAUCAUCAUGCCCCUUAUGGCCUGGGCUACACACGUACUACAAUGGCGGCUACAAAGAGCAGCGAGACAGGGAUGUCGAGCGAAUCUCAUAAAAGCCGUCCCAGUUCGGAUUGGAGCCUGCAACCCGGCUCCAUGAAGUUGGAAUCGCUAGUAAUCGCGGAUCAGCAUGCCGCGGUGAAUACGUUCCCGGGCCUUGCACUCACCGCCCGUCAA
This 747-nucleotide ribosomal RNA is filed under the name uncultured bacterium. Its description in RNAcentral is "bacterial SSU rRNA". It matches the Rfam family "Bacterial small subunit ribosomal RNA", at positions 646 to 1400 of the family's 1533-position model. The record is from RNAcentral.